GACGAACGCUGGCGGCGUGCCUAAUACAUGCAAGUAGAACGCUGAAGAGAGGAGCUUGCUCUUCUUGGAUGAGUUGCGAACGGGUGAGUAACGCGUAGGUAACCUGCCUUGUAGCGGGGGAUAACUAUUGGAAACGAUAGCUAAUACCGCAUAACAAUGGAUGACACAUGUCAUUUAUUUGAAAGGGGCAAUUGCUCCACUACAAGAUGGACCUGCGUUGUAUUAGCUAGUAGGUGAGGUAAUGGCUCACCUAGGCGACGAUACAUAGCCGACCUGAGAGGGUGAUCGGCCACACUGGGACUGAGACACGGCCCAGACUCCUGCGGGAGGCAGCAGUAGGGAAUCUUCGGCAAUGGGGGCAACCCUGACCGAGCAACGCCGCGUGAGUGAAGAAGGUUUUCGGAUCGUAAAGCUCUGUUGUAAGUCAAGAACGGGUGUGAGAGUGGAAAGUUCACACUGUGACGGUAGCUUACCAGAAAGGGACGGCUAACUACGUGCCAGCAGCCGCGGUAAUACGUAGGUCCCGAGCGUUGUCCGGGUUUAUUGGGCGUAAAGCGAGCGCAGGCGGUUUGAUAAGUCUGAAGUUAAAGGCUGUGGCUCAACCAUAGUUCGCUUUGGAAACUGUCAAACUUGAGUGCAGAAGGGGAGAGUGGAAUUCCAUGUGUAGCGGUGAAAUGCGUAGAUAUAUGGAGGAACACCGGUGGCGAAAGCGGCUCUCUGGUCUGUAACUGACGCUGAGGCUCGAAAGCGUGGGGAGCGAACAGGAUUAGAUACCCUGGUAGUCCACGCCGUAAACGAUGAGUGCUAGGUGUUGGAUCCUUUCCGGGAUUCAGUGCCGCAGCUAACGCAUUAAGCACUCCGCCUGGGGAGUACGACCGCAAGGUUGAAACUCAAAGGAAUUGACGGGGGCCCGCACAAGCGGUGGAGCAUGUGGUUUAAUUCGAAGCAACGCGAAGAACCUUACCAGGUCUUGACAUCCCGAUGCUAUUUCUAGAGAUAGAAAGUUACUUCGGUACAUCGGUGACAGGUGGUGCAUGGUUGUCGUCAGCUCGUGUCGUGAGAUGUUGGGUUAAGUCCCGCAACGAGCGCAACCCCUAUUGUUAGUUGCCAUCAUUCAGUUGGGCACUCUAGCGAGACUGCCGGUAAUAAACCGGAGGAAGGUGGGGAUGACGUCAAAUCAUCAUGCCCCUUAUGACCUGGGCUACACACGUGCUACAAUGGUUGGUACAACGAGUUGCGAGUCGGUGACGGCGAGCUAAUCUCUUAAAGCCAAUCUCAGUUCGGAUUGUAGGCUGCAACUCGCCUACAUGAAGUCGGAAUCGCUAGUAAUCGCGGAUCAGCACGCCGCGGUGAAUACGUUCCCGGGCCU
This 1369-nucleotide ribosomal RNA is filed under the name uncultured bacterium. Its description in RNAcentral is "bacterial SSU rRNA". It matches the Rfam family "Bacterial small subunit ribosomal RNA", at positions 28 to 1381 of the family's 1533-position model. The record is from RNAcentral.